UUUGGUUGAAAGUCGAUUUUUACCCAAUAUUAGAAUGGCUACUCCAGCAUGUUUCUUGGGACCAUUUGCUUGGAAAAUUUGUUUUCCAGCCCUUUACUCUGAGGUAGUGUCUUUCUUUGACAGUGAAGUGUGUUUUAUUUAUGCAGGAAAAUGCUGGGUCCUUUUUAAGAAUCCAGUCUGUUAGUCUAUGUCUUUGUAUUGGCAAAUUGAGUCCAUUGAUGUUAACAGAUAUUAAGGAAUAGUGAUUGUUGCUUCCUGUUAUUUUUUAUGUCAUUUUUAUGUUUGUAUGGUUAUCUUCUUUUGGGUUUGUUGAAAGAUGAUUACCUUCUUCCCUUUUCUAGGGUGUAGUUUCCCUCCUUGUGUUAGCAUUUUCCAUUUAUUAUCCUUUGUAGGGCUGGGUUUGUAGAAAGAUAAUCAUGUCAAUUUGUUUUUGUCAUGGAAUAUCUUAGUUUCUCCAUCUAUGGUAAUUGAGAGUUUUGCUGAGUAUAGUAGUCUGGACUGGCAUUUGUGUCCUCUUAUGUAUGAGAUCUGCCCAGGAUCUCCUAGCUUUCAUUGUCUCUGGUGAGAAGUCUGGUGUAAUUCUGAUAGAUCUGCCUUUAUAUGUUACUUGAUCUUUUUCCUUUACUGCUUUUAAUAUUCUUUCUUCAUUUUGUGCAUUUGGUGUUUUGAUUAUUAUGUGACGGGAGGAAUUUCUUUUCUGGUCCAAUCUAUUUAUAGUUCUGCAUGCUUCUUUUAUGUUCAUGGGCAUCUCUUUCUUUAGGUUAGGGAAGUUUUCUUCUAUAAUUUUGUUGAAGAUAUUUACUGGCCCUUUAAGUUGGGAACCUUCACUCUCAUCUAUACUUAUUUUCCUUAGGUUUGGUCUUCUCAUUGUGUCCCGGAUUUCCUGGAUGUUUUGAGUUAGGAGCUUUUUUGCUUUUUGUGUUUUCUUUGACUGUUGUGUCAAUGUUUUCUAUGGUGUCCUCUGCACCUGAGAUUCUCUCUUCUAUCUCUUGUAUUCUGUUGGUGAUGCUUGCAUCUAUGACUCCUGAUCUCUUUCCUAGACUUUCUAACUCCAGGGUUGUCUCCCUUUGUGAUUUCUUUAUUGUUUCUAUUUCCAUUUUUAGAUCCUGGAUGGUUUUGUUCAGUUCCUUCACCUGUUUGGUUGUUUUUUCCUAUAAUUCUUUAAGGGACUUUUGUGUUUCAUCUCUAAGGUCUUCUACUUGUUUACCUGUGUCUCCUGUAUUUCUUUAAGGGUGUUAUUUAUGCCCUUCUUAAAGUCCUCUAUCAUCAUCAUGAGAUGUGAUUUUUAAAUCAGAGUCUUGCUUUUGUGGAGUGUUAGGGUAUCCAGGGCUCAUUAUGGUAGGAGAACUGGGUUCUGAUGAUGCCAAGUGAUCUUGGUUUCUGUUGUUCAUGUUCUUGCCCUUGCCUCUCGCCAUCUGGUUAUCUCUGGUGUUAGCUGGUCUUGCUGUCUCUGACUGUGGCUUGUCUCUCCUGCAAGCCUGUGUGUCAGUACUCCUGGGAGACCAGCUCUCUCAGGUAGGAAUUUAGGUAUGGAGAGCUAUGGUAUAGGGGUCAGCUCUAGGGUGCAGACAGAAUCCAGAAGGAUCCUGUCUCCAGCUGACCCUUGGUUCCUGUGUCUUGAUGGCUCUGAGAAGGUCCCUCUUGGACAAGAAAUUUGAAGAGAUGUGGUGGUCUUACCUGUGCUCACAGGCAGCCUGCUCCUUGGUUCCUGUGUCCUGAGGGUUCUGGGUGGGUUCCUCUGAGCAGCAGUGGUGAUCUUACCUGUACUUAUAAGCUUGUCUGCACUCCUGGGAUACUAGCUCUUUCCUGACGGUAUUUGUGUUUGUAGGUCUGUGGCACAGGAUCAGCUCCAGGCGCAGACAGAAACAGGAAGAGAUCUUUCUUAAUUCUGGAUUUCUAUUUAUGUUUUGUAAUAAAUAAAUAAAUAAAUAAAUAAAUAAAUAAAUAAAUAAUUUCAGGCCUUUUUCUAAGUUCUAUAUUCACUGAGGCAUUUAAAUUUUUUAAGCUUUUUUUUUUCCUUCCUUCCUUCCUUCCUUCCUUCAUUCCUUCCUUCCUUCUUCUCCUUUCAACACUGGGUUUCUCAGUGUAGUGCUUACUGUUCUGGAACUCUGUAGACUACAGUGGCCUCGAAUUCACAAAAGUCUGACUUCUAUCUUCUGAGUUCUGGGAUUAAAGGUGUGCACACCACCACUAAAAAGUUGUGAGAGGCCAAACCUACUCUAUCUUGGAACCAGCCUCC
RNAcentral lists this long non-coding RNA (2239 nucleotides) under Mus musculus (house mouse). Its description in RNAcentral is "long non-coding RNA chr10:43269145-43271384". Lineage: Eukaryota; Metazoa; Chordata; Mammalia; Rodentia; Muridae. The record is from RNAcentral.